RNAcentral lists this ribosomal RNA (378 nucleotides) under uncultured eukaryote. RNAcentral's name for it is "partial 18S ribosomal RNA". It matches the Rfam family "Eukaryotic small subunit ribosomal RNA", at positions 592 to 976 of the family's 1831-position model. The record is from RNAcentral.
CAAUAGCGUAUAUUUAAGUUGUUGCAGUUAAAAAGCUCGUAGUUGGAUUUCGGGUGGGACGCAGCGGUCUCGCAUUGCGUUUGUACUGCUGCAGCCCUCCUUCUUGCCGGGGGCGGCCUCUCGGACUUCACUGUCUGGGGGUCAGAAUCGGCGAUGUUACUUUGAGUAAAUUAGGGUGUUCAAAGCAAGCUUACGCUCUGAAUAUAAUAGCAUGGGAUAACACGACAGGACUCUGGCCUAUCGUGUUGGUCUAUAGGACCAGAGUAAUGAUUAAGAGGGACAGUCGGGGGCAUUCGUAUUCCGUUGUCAGAGGUGAAAUUCUUGGAUUUACGGAAGACGAACAUCUGCGAAAGCAUUUGCCAAGGAUGUUUNCAUUGA